UGGGUCCAUUCCCCCCGAACCGAUGAAUUGUAGGAGUCAAGCUGUUCCCGGCCAACAAGAAUCUAGAGCCCAAACUGUGCUAGCUUCAGCAAGGCUACAAUUCUAUGGCACUUCCUGCCUCAGCUGCCUGCCAGCCCUGUUAGACAUUUCCCCAUACUACAUAACCUCUCAGGAAGUGCUUGAUUCCACCUUGGGAACACUCCAUGCUAAAGCAAGCAAGAGAAAUAUUAGCACUUUUUCUAUCCCACUGGAUUGUAAAACAGCACUGAAGUAAAAUCCCCCAAAGAACAAUAUGGCAUUUUUAAAAAGAUCCCCAUCCUUAGCAACACUCAGUGGAGAUGAACUUGACCCAAUGAGGCACCAUCCAAGAGGCACCCUUCACACCACAGCUACUGCAGAUUUUUCUAUUCACUGGCCAACAGCAGUAAGUUUUUAAUUUAUUACAGUAAAAGACACAUUGCCGUUAGGUCCCCUCAAAAAUCCUCCCACUUAUUUGGGACACGCUCAUCCCAUCAUCCUUGCCACUUUCAGAAGCGGUGCUGGGAGUUCUCUCUGGUGAGUGUCUUUACAGAGUGCGGUUUAAAAAAACUUCUAGUGAAUGCUGUUGAUUCCAACAGCAAAACCUUACGGUGUGUCUUCCUCCACCUCGCUCACCAGAUCUGGCACCAUGCAAUUUUGGAUCUUCCUCAAAAUGGCCAUGAAGAGGAUAGCCAGUCCAGUCCAAAACAUUCUGAAUCCACUCAGGACAUCACGGUAGCCACUGUGGUGGCCGUGACAGCACAGCGAAGACACUCACAAAGGAGGACUUGCAGAACUGCUUCAGAAAGUGGCAAGAAGUACAAGUGUGCCUGAGGUUCCUUCUCCACACCUCCUGGCUUUAUACUGAAGUCUCAGCUAGAAGACCAGGCUCACUGUCAGCUCAGCCCGCUUCAUCUUCAAACCCAGACUGGAGCCCUUUAGCAAGACAGUGGUGGUGUCUGGAAAUACCACAGGGCACCGUCUUGUUGGUUCCUUUUCGUGAUCCUAACAGCUGUUUAUACUCGGUAAUGCCUGACGCCAAACACUGGGCAAAGCAAAAGGGUGACACCAU
Molecule: long non-coding RNA, 1090 nt
Filed under: Fukomys damarensis (Damara mole-rat)
Lineage: Eukaryota; Metazoa; Chordata; Mammalia; Rodentia; Bathyergidae
Description: lncRNA (ENSFDAG00000022856.1)
Source: RNAcentral